UACAGAGGUCCCAAGCGUUGUUCGGAUUCACUGGGCGUAAAGGGUGCGUAGGUGGCCAGGUAAGUUUGGUGUGAAAGCUCGGAGCUUAACUCCGAAAUGGCAUUGAAUACUAUCUGGCUGGAGGGUCGGAGGGGAGACUGGAAUUCUCGGUGUAGCAGUGAAAUGCGUAGAUAUCGAGAGGAACACCAGUGGCGAAGGCGAGUCUCUGGACGACACCUGACACUGAGGCACGGAAAAGCUAGGGGAGCAAACCAGG
Molecule: ribosomal RNA, 256 nt
Filed under: uncultured bacterium
Lineage: Bacteria
Description: partial 16S ribosomal RNA
Rfam family: Bacterial small subunit ribosomal RNA
Source: RNAcentral